GACGUAGGGGGCCAGCGUUGUUCGGAAUUACUGGGUGUAAAGGGUUCGUAGGCGGUGUGGCAAGUUGGGAGUGAAGUCUCUGGGCUCAACCCAGAGGCUGCUUCCAAAACUGCUGUGCUUGAGUGUGGGAGAGGCGCGUGGAAUUGCGGGUGUAGCGGUGAAAUGCGUAGAUAUCUGCAGGAACACCCGUGGCGAAAGCGGCGCACUGGACCACAACUGACGCUGAGGAACGAAAGCUAGGGGAGCAAACAGG
RNAcentral lists this ribosomal RNA (253 nucleotides) under uncultured bacterium. Its description in RNAcentral is "partial 16S ribosomal RNA". It matches the Rfam family "Bacterial small subunit ribosomal RNA", at positions 524 to 776 of the family's 1533-position model. The record is from RNAcentral.